AUUGAACGCUGGCGGCAUGCCUUACACAUGCAAGUCGAACGGCAGCACGGGUGCUUGCACCUGGUGGCGAGUGGCGAACGGGUGAGUAAUAUAUCGGAACGUACCUUAUUGUGGGGGAUAACGCAGCGAAAGCUGUGCUAAUACCGCAUAAUCCCUUAGGGGGAAAGCGGGGGACCGUAAGGCCUCGCGCAAUUAGAGCGGCCGAUACCUGAUUAGCUAGUUGGUGAGGUAAAGGCUCACCAAGGCAACGAUCAGUAGCUGGUCUGAGAGGACGAUCAGCCACACUGGGACUGAGACACGGCCCAGACUCCUACGGGAGGCAGCAGUGGGGAAUUUUGGACAAUGGGGGCAACCCUGAUCCAGCAAUGCCGCGUGAGUGAAGAAGGCCUUCGGGUUGUAAAGCUCUUUUGUCAGGGAAGAAACAGCAGCUCUAACACAGUCUGCGAAUGACGGUACC
RNAcentral lists this ribosomal RNA (457 nucleotides) under Polynucleobacter sp. Fw70s-28. Its description in RNAcentral is "bacterial SSU rRNA". It matches the Rfam family "Bacterial small subunit ribosomal RNA", at positions 30 to 479 of the family's 1533-position model. The record is from RNAcentral. RNAcentral also lists the same sequence under 12 other names. Lineage: Bacteria; Pseudomonadati; Pseudomonadota; Betaproteobacteria; Burkholderiales; Burkholderiaceae.